AGGCGAGUGGUGCAAUGGGCAGCACGACGGUCUUUGGAACCGUAUGUUGCAGGUUCGAAUCCUGCCUCGCCUG
RNAcentral lists this transfer RNA (73 nucleotides) under Bifidobacterium animalis subsp. animalis. Its description in RNAcentral is "tRNA-Gln". It matches the Rfam family "tRNA". Rfam says of the family: Transfer RNA (tRNA) molecules are approximately 80 nucleotides in length. The record is from RNAcentral. Lineage: Bacteria; Bacillati; Actinomycetota; Actinomycetes; Bifidobacteriales; Bifidobacteriaceae. RNAcentral also lists the same sequence under 1 other name.